This 390-nucleotide unclassified non-coding RNA is filed under the name soil metagenome. RNAcentral describes it as "partial contains 5.8S ribosomal RNA, internal transcribed spacer 2, and large subunit ribosomal RNA". The stretch from base 1 to 120 matches the Rfam family "5.8S ribosomal RNA", at positions 35 to 154 of the family's 154-position model. The record is from RNAcentral.
GAUGAAGAACGCAGUGAAAUGCGAUAAGUAAUGUGAAUUGCAGAAUUCAGUGAAUCAUCGAAUCUUUGAACGCAUCUUGCGCUCCUUGGUAUUCCGAGGAGCAUGCCUGUUUGAGUGUCAUUUAACUUCUCAACCACAUUGGAUAUUUUUUUUCCGAUGCCGGCUUGGAUGUGGGGGUUGUUUGCAGGCUUUUUGUAACAAAAAAGGUCGGCUCCCCUGAAAUGUAUUAGUGGUAUCUGAGGCUAUUACUAUUAGGUGUGAUAAUUAUCUAUGCCUUUUGGGUAUGCCGCAUGAACAGAUUAUGCUGCUUCUAACGAAAACUAUUUUGAUGAAUUUGACCUCAAAUCAGGUAGGACUACCCGCUGAACUUAAGCAUAUCAUAGCGGAGGA